This is a long non-coding RNA of Erinaceus europaeus (western European hedgehog), 695 nucleotides long. RefSeq lists it as uncharacterized. Lineage: Eukaryota; Metazoa; Chordata; Mammalia; Eulipotyphla; Erinaceidae. The record is from RefSeq and is a predicted model, not a curated record. The transcript has 5 exons.
ACCGAGCAACCAGGAGGCGCUGGUGCAGCCAUCCCUAGAGGCCCUGGGCGCUGGAGCAGGUAGACCCCCAGGCGCUGGAGCAGGUAGACCCUCGGGCGCUGGAGCAGGUAGACCCCCCAGCGCUGGAGCAGGUAGACCCCCGGGCGCUGGAGCAGGUAGACCCCCCAGGCACUGGAGCAGGUAGACUCCCUGGCGCUGGAGCAGGUAGACCCCCGGGCGCUGGAGCAGGGAGACCCCCGGGCGCUGGAGCAGGUAGACCCCCCAGGCACUGGAGCAGGUAGACCCCCGGGCGCUGGAGCAGGUAGACCCCCCGGGCGCUGGAGCAGGUAGACCCCCCGGGCACUGGAGCAGGUAGACCCCCGGGCGCUGGAGCAGGUAGACCCCCCGGGCACUGGAGCAGGUAGACCCCCGGGCACUGGAGCAGGUAGACCCCCGGGCGCUGGAGCAGGUAGACCCCCGGGCGCUGGAGCAGGUAGACCCCCGGGGGGCUGGAGCAGGUAGACCCCGGGGCGCUGGAGCAGGGAGACCCCCGGGCACUGGAGCAGGUAGACCCCCGGGCGCUGGAGCAGGUAGACCCCCGGGCGCUGGUACAGACAUCCCUAGGGGUCCCCCAGGCGCUGGUGCAGGUAGAGCCCGGCCAGGCUGCUGAGCACCUGGCAGGCGGCCGUCCACCACAGCAGGAAGGACAGCAGGCC